ACCCACUAUUUACAAACUAAAUUUUAUAAUUUUUUAAUAUAAUUUGUCAAAUAAUCAAAGGGUCACAAAAAUAACUAUUUUCAUGGUUGAUAUAGUACAUUUGUAAGUUCAACGGUGUAAAAUAAUCUAAAUUAAAAAAAAAUUUAAUAGAAAAUUUAAUUUAUCAUCCAGAGCGAGAUCAUCUCUUCCCAUAGGAAAUAUUCUAGCACUAUUUUUUAUAACAUUUUUACUUUCAACCUUUCAUUUUAGAUUAUUUGUUCGCUAGACAAAUAAAAACAAAAUAUUAUGAAUUAAAUUUUUAGAUAGAGCUGAUCGUCACAUCAGAUAUUUUAUUAUCGAAAAUAAUUUAAAAGUACAGAGACAUAUUUUUGAAAGAAUAGUAGUUU
This 386-nucleotide long non-coding RNA is filed under the name Ananas comosus (pineapple). RNAcentral describes it as "long non-coding RNA (ACOM_LNC008028)". Lineage: Eukaryota; Viridiplantae; Streptophyta; Magnoliopsida; Poales; Bromeliaceae. The record is from RNAcentral.